GACGAACGCUGGCGGCGUGCCUAAUACAUGCAAGUCGAACGCAGUGGGGACGGGUGAGUAACACGUGGGUAACCUCCCAUCAGAGGGGAUAACACUUGGAAACAGGUGCUAAACCGAUACUGAUGGAUGGACCCGCGGUGCAUUAGCUAGUUGGUGAGGUAACGGCUCACCAAGGCCACGAUGCAUAGCCGACCCGAGGGGGUGAUGGGUCACCGUGGGGCGAGGACAAGGGCCAGCACCGGGAGGGAGGCACGGGUAGGGAAUCUACGGCAAUGGACAGAAGUGUAACCGCGCCACUGGGCGAAAGUCAUGCCGGUCUACGGCGCGUGAAAGUCUACUGUUAGCGAAGCGGUACCUAACCAGAAAGCACCGGCUAACUCCGUGCCAGCAGCCGCGGUAAUAC
RNAcentral lists this ribosomal RNA (403 nucleotides) under uncultured bacterium. RNAcentral describes it as "partial 16S ribosomal RNA". It matches the Rfam family "Bacterial small subunit ribosomal RNA", at positions 28 to 526 of the family's 1533-position model. The record is from RNAcentral.